Molecule: ribosomal RNA, 453 nt
Filed under: uncultured bacterium
Lineage: Bacteria
Description: partial 16S ribosomal RNA
Rfam family: Bacterial small subunit ribosomal RNA
Source: RNAcentral
GAUGAACGCUGACAGAAUGCUUAACACAUGCAAGUCAACUUGAACUUCGGUUUGGGUGGCGGACGGGUGAGUAACGCGUAAAGAACUUGCCUCACAGUUAGGGACAACAUUUGGAAACGAAUGCUAAUACCUGAUAUUAUGAUUUUAGGGCAUCCUAGAAUUAUGAAAGCUAUAUGCGCUGUGAGAGAGCUUUGCGUCCCAUUAGCUAGUUGGAGAGGUAACGGCUCACCAAGGCGAUGAUGGGUAGCCGGCCUGAGAGGGUGAACGGCCACAAGGGGACUGAGACACGGCCCUUACUCCUACGGGAGGCAGCAGUGGGGAAUAUUGGACAAUGGACCAAGAGUCUGAUCCAGCAAUUCUGUGUGCACGAUGAAGUUUUUCGGAAUGUAAAGUGCUUUCAGCUGGGAAGAAAAAAAUGACGAUACCAACAGAAGAAGUGACGGCUAAAUACGU